UACGGGGGGUGCGAGCGUUGUCCGGAUUUCUUGGGUUUAAAGGGUGCGCAGGUGGCCCGGUCAGUCAGUGGUGAAAUGCGGCCGCUCAACGGUCGAACUGCCAUUGAUACUGCCGGGCUUGAGGGGAGUGGAGGCCGCCGGAACGGACGGUGUAGCGGUGAAAUGCAUAGAUAUCGUCCAGAACGCCGAUUGCGAAGGCAGGUGGCUGGGCUUCAACUGACGCUGAGGCACGAAAGCGUGGGGAGCGAACAGG
RNAcentral lists this ribosomal RNA (253 nucleotides) under uncultured bacterium. RNAcentral's name for it is "partial 16S ribosomal RNA". It matches the Rfam family "Bacterial small subunit ribosomal RNA", at positions 524 to 776 of the family's 1533-position model. The record is from RNAcentral.